UGGUGAGGAAUAACACGAGGAAACUUGUGCUAAUACUUCAUAAGCCCUUACGGGGAAAGCUUUAUGCGCCAAUGGAUGAGCCCGCACUUGAUUAGCUUGUUGGUAAGGUAAAAGCUUACCAAGGCUACGAUCAAUAGCUGAUCUGAGAGGAUGAUCAGCCACAUUGGGACUGAGACACGGCCCAAACUCCUACGGGAGGCAGCAGUGGGGAAUCUUGCACAAUGGGGGAAACCCUGAUGCAGCGAUGCCGCGUGAGUGAAGAAGGCCUUUGGGUUGUAAAGCUCUUUCGUCGGGGAAGAAAAUGACUGUACCCGAAUAAGAAGGUCCGGCUAACUUCGUGCCAGCAGCCGCGGUAAUACGAAGGGACCUAGCGUAGUUCGGAAUUACUGGGCUUAAAGAGUUCGUAGGUUGUUAAGAAAGUUGGAGGUGAAAUCCCAGAGCUUAACUCUGGAACUGCCUUCAAAACUACAUUUCUUGAGUUUGGUAGAGGAGAGUGGAAUUCCUAGUGUAGAGGUGAAAUUCGUAGAUAUUAGGAGGAACACCAGUGGCGAAGGCGACUCUCUGGGCCAAUACUGACGCUGAGGUUCGAAAGCAUGGGUAGCGAACAGGAUUAGAUACCCUGGUAGUCCAUGCAGUAAACGAUGAGUGCUAGAUGUUGGAAACUUUAGUUUUCAGUAUCGCAGUUAACGCGUUAAGCACU
This 700-nucleotide ribosomal RNA is filed under the name uncultured Candidatus Pelagibacter sp. RNAcentral describes it as "bacterial SSU rRNA". It matches the Rfam family "Bacterial small subunit ribosomal RNA", at positions 134 to 868 of the family's 1533-position model. The record is from RNAcentral. Lineage: Bacteria; Pseudomonadati; Pseudomonadota; Alphaproteobacteria; Candidatus Pelagibacterales; Candidatus Pelagibacteraceae.